This 479-nucleotide ribosomal RNA is filed under the name uncultured bacterium. Its description in RNAcentral is "partial 16S ribosomal RNA". It matches the Rfam family "Bacterial small subunit ribosomal RNA", at positions 29 to 507 of the family's 1533-position model. The record is from RNAcentral.
AUGAACGCUGGCGGCGUGCUUAACACAUGCAAGUCGAACGAAGCACUUUAUUUGAUUUCCUUCGGGACUGAUUAUUUUGUGACUGAGUGGCGGACGGGUGAGUAACGCGUGGGUAACCUGCCUUGUACAGGGGGAUAACAGUUGGAAACGGCUGCUAAUACCGCAUAAGCGCACGGCAUCGCAUGAUGCAGUGUGAAAAACUCCGGUGGUAUAAGAUGGACCCGCGUUGGAUUAGCUAGUUGGUGAGGUAACGGCCCACCAAGGCGACGAUCCAUAGCCGACCUGAGAGGGUGACCGGCCACAUUGGGACUGAGACACGGCCCAAACUCCUACGGGAGGCAGCAGUGGGAAUAUUGCACAAUGGGCGAAAGCCUGAUGCAGCGACGCCGCGUGAGCGAAGAAGUAUUUCGGUAUGUAAAGCUCUAUCAGCAGGGAAGAUAAUGACGGUACCUGACUAAGAAGCACCGGCUAAAUACGUG